UUUCCAGAGAUGGAUUGGUGCCUUCGGGAACUGUGAGACAGGUGCUGCAUGGCUGUCGUCAGCUCGUGUUGUGAAAUGUUGGGUUAAGUCCCGCAACGAGCGCAACCCUUAUCCUUUGUUGCCAGCGGUUAGGCCGGGAACUCAAAGGAGACUGCCAGUGAUAAACUGGAGGAAGGUGGGGAUGACGUCAAGUCAUCAUGGCCCUUACGACCAGGGCUACACACGUGCUACAAUGGCGCAUACAAAGAGAAGCGACCUCGCGAGAGCAAGCGGACCUCAUAAAGUGCGUCGUAGUCCGGAUUGGAGUCUGCAACUCGACUCCAUGAAGUCGGAAUCGCUAGUAAUCGUGGAUCAGAAUGCCACGGUGAAUACGUUCCCGGGCCUUGUACACACCGCCCGUCACACCAUGGGAGUGGGUUGCAAAAGAAGUAGGUAGCUUAACCUUCGGGAGGGCGCUUACCACUUUGUGAUUCAUGACUGGGGUGAAGUCGUAACAAGGUAACCGUAGGGGAACCUGCGGUUGGAUCACCUCCUUA
RNAcentral lists this ribosomal RNA (536 nucleotides) under Salmonella enterica subsp. enterica serovar Infantis. RNAcentral describes it as "partial 16S ribosomal RNA". It matches the Rfam family "Bacterial small subunit ribosomal RNA", at positions 997 to 1533 of the family's 1533-position model. RNAcentral also lists the same sequence under 5 other names. Lineage: Bacteria; Pseudomonadati; Pseudomonadota; Gammaproteobacteria; Enterobacterales; Enterobacteriaceae. The record is from RNAcentral.